This 72-nucleotide transfer RNA is filed under the name Corynebacterium macginleyi. RNAcentral describes it as "tRNA-Val". It matches the Rfam family "tRNA". Rfam says of the family: Transfer RNA (tRNA) molecules are approximately 80 nucleotides in length. Their secondary structure includes four short double-helical elements and three loops (D, anti-codon, and T loops). Lineage: Bacteria; Bacillati; Actinomycetota; Actinomycetes; Mycobacteriales; Corynebacteriaceae. The record is from RNAcentral.
GCGUGAUUAGCUCAGUGGGAGAGCGCUUCCCUGACACGGAAGAGGUCACUGGUUCAAUCCCAGUAUCGCGCA